Long non-coding RNA from Lepidothrix coronata (blue-crowned manakin), 764 nucleotides. RefSeq lists it as uncharacterized. The record is from RefSeq and is a predicted model, not a curated record. The transcript is spliced from 3 exons. NCBI's taxonomy places the organism in Eukaryota, Metazoa, Chordata, Aves, Passeriformes, Pipridae.
GGGAGCCCUCAGUCUCGGGGCACCCUUAAUAUCUGGGCACCUUUAAUAUCUGGGCACCCUCAGCCUCAGGUCACCCUCAGCCUCAGGGAACCCUCAGUCUCUGGGCACCCUCAGUCUCUGGGCACCCUCAGUCUCCCGGCUCCUCAGGCAGACGGUGGUUAUUUCUGCCGGAGUGAGGAAGGGGCUUUGGCAGCAGUGUUCCCUUCCUCUGGCCUCUUUUCAAGCUCCAGUCAAAACAAGUCUAAUGCCUUUUCUCCACACAGACUUUUUCUCCCUUCUUUGAGGUGGAAAGCAGUCUUCUCUAGGCCGUGAUUUCCUCCUGCCCUUUGCAGCCCUGCAUGAGGGGGUUUGGGGCUUUUCCCUCCCUUUUGGGGGGGACAAAGCAGAAACCACAGGAGAAAAAGUUUAUCAGAGCAAAGAGCACGAAGAAAGAGCAGCACAGUGUUCAGAAAAGUUACUUCAGGAGCCUGCUGCAAGAGGGAAAAGCUGCUGCUCUCCUGUCUGGCUGGAUCUCACAGUAGAGCAGACACAGGUCCCUAAGGAAGGAGCACAGCAGACACUGAACUGGCAAAACACAGAAGAGUGUGCUCAUACAACUGGGCUGUCACGGGUGUUGCUGCAAAGACCUGUGAAAUGGGAUGCCCUUUUCUGGCAACAGACAGGACGUGCCUCUGCCAAGUCCCUCUGCUGGGUUCGACCAGCCUCCAGCCAGCUCCUGCACUUUGACUGCUUGUUUCCUGGAUAGCCCCACCAUUGCCAAAGGU